Molecule: ribosomal RNA, 497 nt
Filed under: uncultured bacterium
Lineage: Bacteria
Description: partial 16S ribosomal RNA
Rfam family: Bacterial small subunit ribosomal RNA
Source: RNAcentral
GAUGAACGCUGGCGGCGUGCCUAAUACAUGCAAGUCGAGCGAACAGACGAGGAGCUUGCUCCUUCGACGUUAGCGGCGGACGGGUGAGUAACACGUAGGUAACCUACCUAUAAGACUGGGAUAACUUCGGGAAACCGGAGCUAAUACCGGAUAAUAUUUCGAACCGCAUGGUUCGAUAGUGAAAGAUGGCUUUGCUAUCACUUAUAGCUGGACCUGCGCCGUAUUAGCUAGUUGGUAAGGUAACGGCUUACCAAGGCAACGAUACGUAGCCGACCUGAGAGAGUGAUAGGCGACACGGGAACUGAGACGCGGACCAGACUACUACGAGAGGCAGCAGUAGGGAAUCUGCCGCAAUGGGCGAAAGCCUGACGGAGCAACGGCGCGUGAGUGAUGAAGGUCUUCGGAUCGUAAAACUCUGUUAUUAGGGGAGAACAAACGUGUAAGUAACUGUGCACGUCUUGACGGUACCUGAUCAGAAAGCCACGGCUAACUACGUG